GCCAGGUGUGGUGGCGCACACCUGUAAUCCCAGCUACUCGGGAGGCAGAGGCAGGAGAAUCGCUUGAAUCCAGGAGGUGGAGGUUGUGGUGACCCGAGAUUGCACCAUUGCACUCCAACCUGGGUGACAGAGCAAGACUCCGUCUCAA
Molecule: non-coding RNA, 148 nt
Filed under: Macaca fascicularis (crab-eating macaque)
Lineage: Eukaryota; Metazoa; Chordata; Mammalia; Primates; Cercopithecidae
Also listed under: 1 other name
Source: Rfam by way of RNAcentral